UACAGAGGGGGCAAGCGUUGUUCGGAAUUACUGGGCGUAAAGGGCGCGUAGGCGGCCUGCUAAGUCGAACGUGAAAUCCCCGAGCUCAACUCGGGAACUGCGUCCGAUACUGGCAGGCUUGAAUCCGGGAGAGGGAUGCGGAAUUCCAGGUGUAGCGGUGAAAUGCGUGGAUAUCUGGAGGAACACCGGUGGCGAAGGCGGCAUCCUGGACCGGCAUUGACGCUGAGGCGCGAAAGCCAGGGGAGCAAACGGG
This 253-nucleotide ribosomal RNA is filed under the name uncultured bacterium. RNAcentral describes it as "partial 16S ribosomal RNA". It matches the Rfam family "Bacterial small subunit ribosomal RNA", at positions 524 to 776 of the family's 1533-position model. The record is from RNAcentral.